Molecule: small nuclear RNA, 107 nt
Organism: Cynocephalus volans (Philippine flying lemur)
Lineage: Eukaryota; Metazoa; Chordata; Mammalia; Dermoptera; Cynocephalidae
Source: RefSeq, a predicted model, not a curated record
GUGGUCACUUCAGCAGCACACAUACUAAAACUGGAAUGAUACAGAGAACAUUGGCAUGGCCCCUGUGCAAGGAUGACAUGCAAAGUCUUGAAGAGUUCCAUGUUUUA